RNAcentral lists this ribosomal RNA (490 nucleotides) under uncultured bacterium. RNAcentral's name for it is "partial 16S ribosomal RNA". It matches the Rfam family "Bacterial small subunit ribosomal RNA", at positions 30 to 507 of the family's 1533-position model. The record is from RNAcentral.
AUUGAACGCUGGCGGCAGGCCUAACACAUGCAAGUCGAACGGUAACAGGAAGAAGCUUGCUUCUUUGCUGACGAGUGGCGGACGGGUGAGUAAUGUCUGGGAAACUGCCUGAUGGAGGGGGAUAACUACUGGAAACGGUAGCUAUUACCGCAUAACGUCGCAAGACCAAAAAGGGGGACCUUCGGGCCUCUUGCCAUCGGAUGUGCCCAGAUGGGAUUAGCUAGUAGGUGGGGUAACGGCUCACCUAGGCGACGAUCCCUAGCUGGUCUGAGAGGAUGACCAGCCACACUGGAACUGAGACACGGUCCAGACUCCUACGGGAGGCAGCAGUGGGGAAUAUUGCACAAUGGGCGCAAGCCUGAUGCAGCCAUGCCGCGUGUAUGAAGAAGGCCUUCGGGUUGUAAAGUACUUUCAGCGGGGAGGAAGGGAGUAAAGUUAAUACCUUUGCUCAUUGACGUUACCCGCAGAAGAAGCACCGGCUAACUCCGUG